Molecule: ribosomal RNA, 253 nt
Filed under: uncultured bacterium
Lineage: Bacteria
Description: partial 16S ribosomal RNA
Rfam family: Bacterial small subunit ribosomal RNA
Source: RNAcentral
GACAGAGGUGCCAAGCGUUAGGCGGAAUCACUGGGCUUAAAGCGUGUGUAGGCGGGUGCCUAAGUACCUUGUGAAAUCCCACGGCUCAACCGUGGAACGGCUGGGUAUACUGGGUGCCUUGGGUCAUCCAGGGGCUGCCGGAACAAGUGGUGGAGCGGUGAAAUGCGUAGAUAUCGGGAAGAACACCCGUGGCUAAGGCGGCUCUCUAGUACGGUACUGACGCUGAGACGCGAAAGCGUGGGGAGCGAACAGG